This 543-nucleotide ribosomal RNA is filed under the name Vibrio alginolyticus. RNAcentral describes it as "bacterial SSU rRNA". It matches the Rfam family "Bacterial small subunit ribosomal RNA", at positions 1 to 523 of the family's 1533-position model. The record is from RNAcentral. Lineage: Bacteria; Pseudomonadati; Pseudomonadota; Gammaproteobacteria; Vibrionales; Vibrionaceae.
AAAUUGAAGAGUUUGAUCAUGGCUCAGAUUGAACGCUGGCGGCAGGCCUAACACAUGCAAGUCGAGCGGAAACGAGUUAUCUGAACCUUCGGGGAACGAUAACGGCGUCGAGCGGCGGACGGGUGAGUAAUGCCUAGGAAAUUGCCCUGAUGUGGGGGAUAACCAUUGGAAACGAUGGCUAAUACCGCAUGAUGCCUACGGGCCAAAGAGGGGGACCUUCGGGCCUCUCGCGUCAGGAUAUGCCUAGGUGGGAUUAGCUAGUUGGUGAGGUAAGGGCUCACCAAGGCGACGAUCCCUAGCUGGUCUGAGAGGAUGAUCAGCCACACUGGAACUGAGACACGGUCCAGACUCCUACGGGAGGCAGCAGUGGGGAAUAUUGCACAAUGGGCGCAAGCCUGAUGCAGCCAUGCCGCGUGUGUGAAGAAGGCCUUCGGGUUGUAAAGCACUUUCAGUCGUGAGGAAGGUGGUGUAGUUAAUAGCUGCAUUAUUUGACGUUAGCGACAGAAGAAGCACCGGCUAACUCCGUGCCAGCAGCCGCGGUAA